AAAGCCUUAGCUUAAUCAAAGCGUUUGAGUUGCAUUCAAUUAAUGUGGGAUAGAGCCCCGCAGGUUUUA
This 69-nucleotide transfer RNA is filed under the name Monopenchelys acuta (redface moray). RNAcentral describes it as "tRNA-Ala". It matches the Rfam family "tRNA". From Rfam's summary of the family: Transfer RNA (tRNA) molecules are approximately 80 nucleotides in length. Their secondary structure includes four short double-helical elements and three loops (D, anti-codon, and T loops). Further hydrogen bonds mediate the characteristic L-shaped molecular structure. tRNAs have two regions of fundamental functional importance: the anti-codon, which is responsible for specific mRNA codon recognition, and the 3' end, to which the tRNAs corresponding amino acid is attached (by aminoacyl-tRNA synthetases). tRNAs cope with the degeneracy of the genetic code in two manners: having more than one tRNA (with a specific anti-codon) for a particular amino acid; and 'wobble' base-pairing, i.e. permitting non-standard base-pairing at the 3rd anti-codon position. Lineage: Eukaryota; Metazoa; Chordata; Actinopteri; Anguilliformes; Muraenidae. The record is from RNAcentral.